Molecule: long non-coding RNA, 1455 nt
Organism: Cucurbita moschata (crookneck pumpkin)
Lineage: Eukaryota; Viridiplantae; Streptophyta; Magnoliopsida; Cucurbitales; Cucurbitaceae
Exons: 2
Source: RefSeq, a predicted model, not a curated record
ACCGCGUCUUUCUGGUUUCUUCAUAAAUAGUGUUGCCUUCUUGCGCACUGUCCAAUCCCCAUUAUGAGUUCUCUUGUUUUUCCCUCUUCUCUCUGCAAAAUCUCCCGCUUCCUCUGAUCUUUCUUAGGGUUUAGAUCUUCAACCUUUGUAGAAACAUCGAGUUUCUAAUGAAAUUGCUGAGGUCGCAAGCCCACUUUUAGUAACUGUCAAGCCGUCCUUCUACUCGAGUCCAAUCGUGGUUCGAAUUCCAAGGAAGCGGGAUGCUUUUGGAGCAUUAAUAUGAACGGAAGGAAUGUGGUAAAUUAGUAUGAUUUUAUCUUAUUCCCAGGUAUGAUUAUCCUCUUAUAUGCCUCUGUGCUGUAUGGUGUUAUACCAGUUUUCGGUUAAUGCAUUUGGUAUUCUCUAUUUGUUUUGGUGUUUCUGAUUUGGAGUCGUAUUGGUCUGUUACAUAUAAGAAGUUGGUUUUUUCAUUUGGAGAAGAUUUGACUGAUUCUCUAGCUAACUAUUAGAAUAUCCUGUAUUAGAUCAGUUUUCUUAAGAGCAGACGAGGAGUGAUUUAAUGCGGUGCAUCUCCGAUCAAAUGUCUCAGAUUUACUGGCUUAGAUCUCCCUUUGGGUUUUCGUGUUUGUCAUGUAAUUUCUUGAUUGAUUGAAUACGUUUAUAUUUAUCAAGCUGGUUUUUAAAAACAAUUUAUGUUUGGAGAACAAUGCUCUGGUGAAAAACAUGUUAAUGAUUUUAUUUUCUUAAUUUGUUUCUUCUUCUUUUUCCUUUAUUUUUCAUUAUUUUUUAAUCCCUUCAUUUAACUUUAAAAAUUAAGUCUUUUUAAUAAUAUAUUUUUAUUUUUAUUCAUUUAUUUAUGUAGGAUGUAUAUAAAAACAGUGGAAUUAGUAUAUAUACAAACAAUAAUUUUAAAAGCAACCAACUGCUGUUUUAAUUUGAUACUGAUCUAUUGUACUCAGUAUCAUAAAUAUUUUACCUUUAUGAUCUUGUUAUUAUUUAUGACUUAAAUAUGACCUCUGAUUGGAUCAAAAUUCGGUUGUCUUUGUCCAAACAUGAUUGUGUUGUCUUCAUAGAAUCCAAAACUACGGCUGUCUCGAAAUAAUGGUUGCAGUGGGUGCCUCGAUAAAAUUUAAGAUAAUGACCGCUUGAAAUAUUAGUUAUUACAAAAUGAUAUUUGCUACGAAAUAUCAAUUGUCUUGUUACAAUAAUGGUGUAGAUAUAAUGGUUGCUUCUGUAUGACAGUUGUUUCGAAAUGAUAAUUGUUGUGAAAUAUAUCUACUAACUUGUUAAAAUAAUUGUCGUAGGCAUAAUGGUUGCCUUGAUAGAAUCCAAGAUAAUGGUUGCUCUAAUUAGUGGUGGUUAUCUAGAGGUGAUAAUAGUUGCUUUGGUACAUUAAUUGUCCAAAUAUAAUGGUAGUAUACUAUUUUAAGAUAUAUCUUGAAAUGUUAAUUGUUU